RNAcentral lists this ribosomal RNA (408 nucleotides) under uncultured archaeon. Its description in RNAcentral is "bacterial SSU rRNA". It matches the Rfam family "Archaeal small subunit ribosomal RNA", at positions 591 to 997 of the family's 1478-position model. The record is from RNAcentral.
ACUUGGAACCGGGAGAGGUAAGAGGUACUACAGGGGUAGGAGUGAAAUCUUGUAAUCCCUGUGGGACCACCUGUGGCGAAGGCGUCUUACCAGAACGGGUUCGACGGUGAGGGACGAAAGCUGGGGGCACGAACCGGAUUAGAUACCCGGGUAGUCCCAGCCGUAAACGAUGCUCGCUAGGUGUCAGGCAUGGCGCGACCGUGUCUGGUGCCGCAGGGAAGCCGUGAAGCGAGCCACCUGGGAAGUACGGCCGCAAGGCUGAAACUUAAAGGAAUUGGCGGGGAGCACAACAACGGGUGGAAGCCUGCGGUUUAAUUGGACUCAACGCCGGACUAACUCACCGGGGGCGACAGCAAUAUGUAGGCCAAGCUGAAGACUUUGCCUGAAUCGCUGAGGAGUGGUGCAUGG